UUUAAGAACUACAUGAAUCUCUGAGGACUAU
RNAcentral lists this non-coding RNA (31 nucleotides) under Mus musculus (house mouse). Lineage: Eukaryota; Metazoa; Chordata; Mammalia; Rodentia; Muridae. The record is from RNAcentral.